GGUCCCGUGGUGUAGUGGUUAACAUGCCUGCCUGUCACGCAGGAGAUCGCCGGUUCGACCGGCGGUUCGAUUCCGUCCCGAGCCACCA
Molecule: transfer RNA, 88 nt
Filed under: Bacillus cereus
Lineage: Bacteria; Bacillati; Bacillota; Bacilli; Caryophanales; Bacillaceae
Description: tRNA-Asp
Rfam family: tRNA
About the family: Transfer RNA (tRNA) molecules are approximately 80 nucleotides in length. Their secondary structure includes four short double-helical elements and three loops (D, anti-codon, and T loops).
Source: RNAcentral